RNAcentral lists this long non-coding RNA (266 nucleotides) under Piliocolobus tephrosceles (Ugandan red Colobus). RNAcentral describes it as "lncRNA (ENSPTEG00000015785.1)". Lineage: Eukaryota; Metazoa; Chordata; Mammalia; Primates; Cercopithecidae. The record is from RNAcentral.
AAUAAUGGGGUCACAUCUCGGCAGCAACCUGCCCUCAGGUAGCAUUUUCAAGUCAUGGCGAAGCUGGAGUACAAGUACCCAAUACCCCACCUAGGACUUGGCCAAGACCACAGCCAGGCGGCCAGACAGAUCCUUGGACUCUUCUGUAAUGAGAGAGUUGAGAUGGGGCCCAAAGGACUCUCCCUAAAGACCUUUCAAAGUGCCAGGUUGAAGGAUAACAGGGUGCUCAGAUUCCCACCUUCAAAGUAUCUGAGAGAACGUUCCGU